Molecule: non-coding RNA, 23 nt
Filed under: Arabidopsis thaliana (thale cress)
Lineage: Eukaryota; Viridiplantae; Streptophyta; Magnoliopsida; Brassicales; Brassicaceae
Source: RNAcentral
CCGAUUGAAUAUUUGAAGAUGGA